AUUGAACGCUGGCGGCAGGCCUAACACAUGCAAGUCGAGCGGAGCGGCGGACGGGUGAGUACUGAUUAUGAAUCUGACAGGUGGUGGGGGAGAACGUCCGGAAACGGGAGCUAAUACAGCCGACUCUAAGAUGAGCCUAGGUCGGAUGGGUGAGUUGGGGGGGUAAAUGCCUACCAAGGCGACGAUCCGUAACUGGUCUGAGAGGAUGAUCAGUCACACUGGAACUGAGACACGGGCCAGACUCCUACGGGAGGCAGAAGUGGGGAAUAUUGGAGAAUGGGCGAAAGCCUGGGCAAGCCAUGCCGCGUGUGUGAAGAAGGUCUUCGGAUUGUAAAGCACUUUAAGUUGGGAGGCGUUACCAACAGAAGAAGCACCGGCUAACUUCGUGCCAGCAGCCGCGGUAAUAC
This 407-nucleotide ribosomal RNA is filed under the name uncultured bacterium. Its description in RNAcentral is "partial 16S ribosomal RNA". It matches the Rfam family "Bacterial small subunit ribosomal RNA", at positions 29 to 526 of the family's 1533-position model. The record is from RNAcentral.